UAGGCAACGGCGCGGCCCGCGCUGGCGCUGCACUGCAGAGGCUCUGCCCCCGGCCGGCCGGGCCGGGUCGCGGUGGCCAGCGCCGAGCCCAGGGCUGCCGCCCGCCGGUGGUGGCUGGCUUCGGGGAAGAGGGGCCAGGGCCCGCCGGACCCCACCCACAUCUCCAGUUCACACUGGAGAAGGAGAACAACGGCAUCCAACAGAAGACCUUGGACGUCAGAGAGUGAAU
RNAcentral lists this long non-coding RNA (229 nucleotides) under Canis lupus dingo (dingo). RNAcentral describes it as "lncRNA (ENSCAFG00020000553.1)". The record is from RNAcentral. Lineage: Eukaryota; Metazoa; Chordata; Mammalia; Carnivora; Canidae.